GUGUCAGCAGCCGCGGUAAUACAGAGGGUGCAAGCGUUGCUCGGAUUUACUGGGCGUAAAGCGUACGCAGACGGCCACGCAGGUCGGGUGUGAAAGCCCCGGGCUCAACCCGGGAAUUGCAUUCGAAACCAUGUGGCUCGAGUGUGGGAGAGGGUAGUGGAAUUCCUGGUGUAGAGGUGAAAUUCGUAGAUAUCAGGAGGAACACCGGCGGCGAAGGCGGCUACCUGGUCCACAACUGACGUUCAGGUACGAAAGCGUGGGGAGCAAACAGGAUUAGAUACCCUGGUAGUCC
RNAcentral lists this ribosomal RNA (292 nucleotides) under uncultured bacterium. RNAcentral's name for it is "partial 16S ribosomal RNA". It matches the Rfam family "Bacterial small subunit ribosomal RNA", at positions 505 to 796 of the family's 1533-position model. The record is from RNAcentral.